RNAcentral lists this long non-coding RNA (277 nucleotides) under Gossypium raimondii (Peruvian cotton). Its description in RNAcentral is "long non-coding RNA (GRAI_LNC010649)". Lineage: Eukaryota; Viridiplantae; Streptophyta; Magnoliopsida; Malvales; Malvaceae. The record is from RNAcentral.
AAUUAAUUCAUAUGAACUCAAUCAAUAUCAAGUCAUGAUAUACUAUUAGAAAUCAAGCAAAUAUUUUUACAAUUCAAUACACAAGUCAUUUAACCAAUUUAAAUAUGUCCGAUGAACGAUAUAACAUAUAUGGAUACACAGUUAUCCACCGAAACACACCAAAAUGCUCCAAUGAGCCAAACCAACCGAGAACACGCCUUGGCACUAAGAGCCUAGCCUGUAGGCUAACAUCCCUCCAGAACACACCUCAGCACCAAGUUUCAAGCCCAAAGGCUUU